RNAcentral lists this long non-coding RNA (297 nucleotides) under Mytilus galloprovincialis (Mediterranean mussel). Lineage: Eukaryota; Metazoa; Mollusca; Bivalvia; Mytilida; Mytilidae. The record is from RNAcentral.
AUAAUAAGAAUUAUCGCUAUUUUGUGCAUUUUUCGUUUGAUCUUUUUUUGUGAUAAUUUUCAUAUCAUGCUUCUCGCUUGAGAUGGAAAAAUUAUCGCUUGAAACUAAGAAGGCCACGUGGCGUUGCUAACGAAAUUGACAUUGAAAUUGACAACGUCGUCAUAGGUAAAAUAGCGAUAAACAGAUUAUCAUUGGUCAUCUCAACUCGAUUGCUAUUCUCACUUUCGCUGUACCAGCUCAAGCGAGAAAAUUAAUUUCGUUGAGAUGAUCAACGAUAAUCUAUAAGUAUCUUACAAA